GAAUUUUGACCUCGGAUCAGGUAGGAAUACCCGCUGAACUUAAGCAUAUC
This 50-nucleotide ribosomal RNA is filed under the name Coniella vitis. RNAcentral's name for it is "partial 28S ribosomal RNA". Lineage: Eukaryota; Fungi; Ascomycota; Sordariomycetes; Diaporthales; Schizoparmaceae. The record is from RNAcentral.